GCCCUGGUGGCUCAUCGGUCUAAGCGCGCACACCAGUAAGGUGGUGACCUGGGUUCGAUUCCAGCUUGGGGCA
Non-coding RNA from Gymnothorax javanicus (giant moray), 73 nucleotides. The record is from the annotation of a GenBank genome assembly. NCBI's taxonomy places the organism in Eukaryota, Metazoa, Chordata, Actinopteri, Anguilliformes, Muraenidae.